Molecule: non-coding RNA, 113 nt
Organism: Aspergillus arachidicola
Lineage: Eukaryota; Fungi; Ascomycota; Eurotiomycetes; Eurotiales; Aspergillaceae
Source: the annotation of a GenBank genome assembly
GGUCCUAUGGGGUAGUGGUUAUCCCACCGGAUUUUGAUGAACAGUAUAUAAACAAUUAUAUAUAAAAGAAGUCAAAGUUUCCGGUAACGCCGGUUCGAAUCCGGCUAGGACCU